GAGUUUGAUCCUGGCUCAGAUUGAACGCUGGCGGCAUGCCUUACACAUGCAAGUCGAACGGUAACAGGUCUUCGGAUGCUGACGAGUGGCGAACGGGUGAGUAAUACAUCGGAACGUGCCCGAUCGUGGGGGGAUAACGGAGCGAAAGCUUUGCUAAUACCGCAUACGAUCUACGGAUGAAAGCAGGGGACCGCAAGGCCUUGCGCGGACGGAGCGGCCGAUGGCAGAUUAGGUAGUUGGUGGGAUAAAAGCUUACCAAGCCGACGAUCUGUAGCUGGUCUGAGGGACGACCAGCCACACUGGGACUGAGACACGGCCCAGACUCCUACGGGAGGCAGCAGUGGGGAAUUUUGGACAAUGGGCGAAAGCCUGAUCCAGCCAUGCCGCGUGCAGGAUG
RNAcentral lists this ribosomal RNA (397 nucleotides) under uncultured microorganism. RNAcentral's name for it is "bacterial SSU rRNA". It matches the Rfam family "Bacterial small subunit ribosomal RNA", at positions 9 to 410 of the family's 1533-position model. The record is from RNAcentral.